GGUCCUUAUCCAUGGGGGCAAGCGUAUGAAGGUCGCCUGGUCCCUAUGUGUCCUUAUUGUCCCUAUAUUUUGUCUCUAUGUGUCCCUAUAUCUCUCUAUGUUUCCCUAUGGGCCCCUAUAGGUCUCUAUGUGUCCCUAUAUCUCUCUAUGGGGUCUCUAUGGGUCUCUAUGGGUCCCUAUAGGUCUCUAUGUAUCCCUAUGGGCCCCUCACCACGAUGGCACAGGCGGGCAGCCCCCUGUGCGCGGCUUGUCGGAGUGUCUCUUUUUAUUGUCCUAUGGGUCCCUAUAGGUCUCUAUGGGUCCCGAUGGGCCGGUUCCCUAUUUAGGUCUCUUAUGGGUCCCUAUAUCUCUCUAUGGGUCCCUAUAUCUCUCUAUGGGGUCUCUAUGGGUCUCUAUAGGUCUCUAUGGGGUCCCUAUGUGUCUCUAUGGGUCCCUAUGUGUCCCUAUGUGUCCCUAUGGGGUCCCUGUGUGUCCCUAUGUGUCUCUAUGGGGUCCCUAUGGGUCUCUAUGGGUCUCUAUGGGGUCUCUAUGGGGUCUCUAUGGGUCUCUACGGGGUCUCUAUGUGUCCCUAUGGGUCUCUAUAUGUCCCUAUGGGGUCCCUAUAGGGCUCUAUGGGUCUCUAUGGGUCUCUAUGGGGUCUCUAUGGGUCUCUAUGUGUCCCUAUGGGGUCCCUAUAUCUCUCUAUGGGGUCCCUAUAGGUCCCUAUAUCUCUCUAUGGGGUCUCUAUGGGUCCCUAUGGGUCUCUAUGGGUCCCUAUAGGUCUCUAUGGGGUCCCUAUAGGUCUCUAUGGGUCCCUAUAGGGCUCUAUGGGUCUCUAUGGGUCUCUAUAGGUCUCUAUGGGUCCCUAUAGGGCUCUAUGGGGUCCCUAUAGGUCUCUAUGGGUCCCUAUAGGUCUCUAUGGGGUCUCUAUGGGUCUCUAUGGGUCUCUAUGUGUCCCUAUGGGGUCCCUAUAGGUCUCUAUGGGUCCCUAUGGGGUCCCUAUGUAUCUCUAUGGGUCUCUAUGGGUCUCUAUGGGUCUCUAUGUGUCCCUAUAGGUCUCUAUGGGUCCCUAUGGGGUCCCUAUAGGUCUCUAUGGGUCUCUAUGUGUCCCUAUAGAUCUCUAUGGGUCCCUAUGUCUCUCUAUGGGUCCCUAUGGGGUCUCUAUAGGUCUCUAUAGGUCUCUAUGGGUCCCUAUAUCUCUCUAUGGGGUCCCUAUAUCUCUCUAUGGGUCCCUAUGUAUCCCUAUGGGCCCCUCACCACGAUGUGCACAGCGGGCAGCCCCCUGAGCGCGCUGUCGGGGUCUCUAUGUGUCCCUAUGGGGUCCCUAUAUCUCUCUAUGGGUCCCUAUGGGGUCCCUAUGUCUCUCUAUGGGGUCCCUAUAUCUCUCUAUGGGGUCUCUAUGGGUCGCUAUGGGUCUCUAUGGGGUCUCUAUGGGUCUCUAUGGGUCUCUAUGGGGUCUCUAUGGGUCUCUAUGUGUCCCUAUGUAUCUCUAUGGGGUCUCUAUGUGUCCCUAUGUCUCUCUAUGGGGUCUCUAUAGAUCCCUAUAUCUCUCUAUGGGGUCUCUAUGGGGUCCCUAUAGGUCUCUAUGGGUCCCUAUGUAUCUCUAUGGGGUCCCUAUAGGUCUCUAUGGGUCCCUAUAUCUCUCUAUGGGUCCCUAUGUGUCCCUAUACCCCCUCACCACGAUGUGCACAGCUGGCAGCCCCCUGAGCGCGCUGUCGGGGUCUCUAUGGGUCCCUAUGGGGCAGCUAUAGGUCCCUAUGUCUCUCUAUGGGGUCCCUAU
Long non-coding RNA from Coturnix japonica (Japanese quail), 1759 nucleotides. The record is from Ensembl. NCBI's taxonomy places the organism in Eukaryota, Metazoa, Chordata, Aves, Galliformes, Phasianidae.